UCCGGAAUUAUUGGGCGUAAAGAGCGUGUAGGCGGCUUGUUAAGUCUGCUGUGAAAGUCCAGGGCUCAACCCUGGAAAGCCGGUGGAUACUGUCGAGCUAGAGUCCGGAAGGGGCGAGUGGAAUUCCUGGUGUAGCGGUGAAAUGCGUAGAUAUCUGGAGGAACACCGGUGGCGAAGGCGGCAUCCUGGACAGACACUGACGCUGAGGCGCGAAAGCUAGGGGAGCAAACGGG
This 233-nucleotide ribosomal RNA is filed under the name uncultured bacterium. Its description in RNAcentral is "partial 16S ribosomal RNA". It matches the Rfam family "Bacterial small subunit ribosomal RNA", at positions 544 to 776 of the family's 1533-position model. The record is from RNAcentral.